Molecule: ribosomal RNA, 440 nt
Filed under: uncultured bacterium
Lineage: Bacteria
Description: partial 16S ribosomal RNA
Rfam family: Bacterial small subunit ribosomal RNA
Source: RNAcentral
ACUACGGGUGGCUGCAGUGGGGGAUAUUGCACAAUGGGGGAAACCCUGAUGCAGCGACGCCGCGUGUGGGAAGACGGUCCUCUGGAUUGUAAACCACUGUCCCCAGGGACGAAGAUGACGGUACCUGGGGAGGAAGCUCCGGCUAACUACGUGCCAGCAGCCGCGGUAAUACGUAGGGAGCGAGCGUUGUCCGGAAUUACUGGGUGUAAAGGGAGCGUAGGCGGGACUGCAAGUUGGGUGUCAAAUCUACCGGCUCAACCGGUAGCCGCACUCAAAACUGCAGUUCUUGAGUGAAGUAGAGGCAGGCGGAAUUCCUAGUGUAGCGGUGAAAUGCGUAGAUAUUAGGAGGAACACCAGUGGCGAAGGCGGCCUGCUGGGCUUUUACUGACGCUGAGGCUCGAAAGUGUGGGGAGCAAACAGGAUUAGAUACCCGAGUAGUC